AGCAUAGUGGCUUAAUGGAUAAGGCACCACCCUCCGAAGCUGGGGAUUGUGGGUUCGAGUCUCACCUGGGUUG
RNAcentral lists this transfer RNA (73 nucleotides) under Danio rerio (zebrafish). It matches the Rfam family "tRNA". Rfam says of the family: Transfer RNA (tRNA) molecules are approximately 80 nucleotides in length. Their secondary structure includes four short double-helical elements and three loops (D, anti-codon, and T loops). Lineage: Eukaryota; Metazoa; Chordata; Actinopteri; Cypriniformes; Danionidae. The record is from Rfam by way of RNAcentral.